CGCGCGUUCGGCUAUUGGCCAGGCCGCUUGGCUUUCACCCAGGAAAGAGGGGUUCGAUUCCCCUACGCGCGACCA
RNAcentral lists this transfer RNA (75 nucleotides) under Rhizocola hellebori. Its description in RNAcentral is "tRNA-Glu". It matches the Rfam family "tRNA". From Rfam's summary of the family: Transfer RNA (tRNA) molecules are approximately 80 nucleotides in length. Their secondary structure includes four short double-helical elements and three loops (D, anti-codon, and T loops). The record is from RNAcentral. Lineage: Bacteria; Bacillati; Actinomycetota; Actinomycetes; Micromonosporales; Micromonosporaceae.